This 263-nucleotide ribosomal RNA is filed under the name uncultured bacterium. RNAcentral describes it as "partial 16S ribosomal RNA". It matches the Rfam family "Bacterial small subunit ribosomal RNA", at positions 793 to 1055 of the family's 1533-position model. The record is from RNAcentral.
GUCCACGCCCUAAACGAUGUCAACUGGUUGUCGGGGAAGUUAUUCCUUGGUAACGAAGCUAACGCGUGAAGUUGACCGCCUGGGGAGUACGGCCGCAAGGUUAAAACUCAAAGGAAUUGACGGGGACCCGCACAAGCGGUUGAUUAUGUGGAUUAAUUCGAUGCAACGCGAAAACCUUACCUACCCUUGACAUGCUAGGAAGCUCGCAGAGAUGUGAGUGUGCCCGAAAGGGAACCUAGACACAGGUGCUGCAUGGCUGUCGU